Molecule: transfer RNA, 62 nt
Filed under: Loxodonta africana (African savanna elephant)
Lineage: Eukaryota; Metazoa; Chordata; Mammalia; Proboscidea; Elephantidae
Rfam family: tRNA
About the family: Transfer RNA (tRNA) molecules are approximately 80 nucleotides in length.
Source: Rfam by way of RNAcentral
UGGUGAUUCAGUGGUAGAAUUCUUGCCUUCUGUGUAGGAGACCUGGGUUCGAUUCCCAUCCA